RNAcentral lists this long non-coding RNA (255 nucleotides) under Elaeis guineensis (African oil palm). RNAcentral's name for it is "long non-coding RNA (EGUI_LNC035073)". The record is from RNAcentral. Lineage: Eukaryota; Viridiplantae; Streptophyta; Magnoliopsida; Arecales; Arecaceae.
AGAAACUUUCUACAAGUAGUGUUAAUCUUUUUGAUGAUCGAUUCUAGUAGCAAGUAGACUGACAAUCCAAUAUACUGAAAUGGCAUUGAGUACUGACCUUAUAAGUGUUAUUCGAUCGGCCAGUGAUAGGACCUUAUGCUUCCAUCCAGCAAGUUUCUUCUCUAUUUUUUUUAAAAUAAAGUUCUAGUUGUGCGCUUUUAGAGUUUUGUGAUGCAAAGGUAUACCUAGAUAGUUAAUUGGCAACUGAGUUGUUGG